RNAcentral lists this ribosomal RNA (392 nucleotides) under uncultured bacterium. RNAcentral's name for it is "bacterial SSU rRNA". It matches the Rfam family "Bacterial small subunit ribosomal RNA", at positions 29 to 431 of the family's 1533-position model. The record is from RNAcentral.
AACGAACGCUGGCGGCAUGCCUAACACAUGCAAGUCGAGCGGGGUUUUCGGACCUAGCGGCGGACGGGUGAGUAAUGCGUAGGAAGCUACCCGAUAGAGGGGGAUACCAGUUGGAAACGACUGUUAAUACCGCAUAAUGUCUACGGACCAAAGUGUGGGACCUUCGGGCCACAUGCUAUCGGAUGCGCCUACGUGGGAUUAGCUAGUUGGUGGGGUAAUGGCUCACCAAGGCGACGAUCCCUAGCUGGUUUGAGAGGAUGAUCAGCCCACACUGGAACUGAGACACGGUCCAGACUCCUACGGGAGGCAGCAGUGGGAAUAUUCGGACAAGUGGGACGAAAGCCUGAUCCAGCCAUGCCGCGUGUGUGAAGAAGGUCUUCGGAUUGUAAAGC